This 75-nucleotide transfer RNA is filed under the name Methanobrevibacter sp. Its description in RNAcentral is "tRNA-Arg". It matches the Rfam family "tRNA". Rfam says of the family: Transfer RNA (tRNA) molecules are approximately 80 nucleotides in length. Their secondary structure includes four short double-helical elements and three loops (D, anti-codon, and T loops). Lineage: Archaea; Methanobacteriati; Methanobacteriota; Methanobacteria; Methanobacteriales; Methanobacteriaceae. The record is from RNAcentral.
GGGCUUGUGGCCUAGUCUGGAUAGGGCGUAUGACUCCUAAUCAUACGGUCGGGGGUUCAAAUCCCCUCAAGUCCG